AUGCAACAUCAAAACAACAUCAUGAAUUAAAACACUAUCCUUAGUGAACUAGAAAGCAAAAAAGAUAGACGCAGGCACGAAUUAAUAAAGGGUUUGGGGCCUACCUUUCCUACAGUGUCUAACCUUAAGAUGCGUCCUCCACUCCCUUAUUUCUUUGUCCGUCUUCUUUAUUUUUGCUCGUGUUCUUUUUCUGACUCUCUCUAAUCUCAUUCUCUUUCUUUUUGCAUGUAAAAAGACAGAGACUUAACUCAUAUACUUAGUGUUUCAAUGUAAAAACCCUAAGUAUCAGAUUCUUUAGAGCUUUAGUGGGGGGUUUGAGGUUAUUGUGUGUUGUUUUUAGGGUUCCAAUUUCCCUUCUUUUUUUUGUUCCCUCUCUGUUUUUAGAUUUAGGUAUUUAUAGACUUAGAAUUAGCUUUUGAUUUUAAUUGUGAUUGAUCUAUUCUAGGAAAUUCUUAUUUUAUUUGUAAUUUGAUUUAGUUAGGAAUUAGGAUUCUUAGGAUCUGCA
Molecule: long non-coding RNA, 505 nt
Filed under: Lathyrus oleraceus (garden pea)
Lineage: Eukaryota; Viridiplantae; Streptophyta; Magnoliopsida; Fabales; Fabaceae
Description: Pisum sativum (pea) long non-coding RNA (PSAT_LNC027797)
Source: RNAcentral